RNAcentral lists this ribosomal RNA (253 nucleotides) under uncultured bacterium. RNAcentral's name for it is "partial 16S ribosomal RNA". It matches the Rfam family "Bacterial small subunit ribosomal RNA", at positions 524 to 776 of the family's 1533-position model. The record is from RNAcentral.
UACGUAGGGUGCGAGCGUUAAUCGGAAUUACUGGGCGUAAAGCGUGCGCAGGCGGUUUUGUAAGCCAGAUGUGAAAUCCCCGGGCUCAACCUGGGAAUGGCAUUUGGGACUGCAAGGCUGGAGUGCGGCAGAGGAGACUGGAAUUCCUGGUGUAGCAGUGAAAUGCGUAGAGAUCCGGAGGAACACCAGUGGCGAAGGCGACGUCCUGGGCUUGACCUGACGCUGAGACGCGACAGCACGGGGAGCGAACGGG